UCUCCUCCCAGUGGGUCCAGGAGGCAUGAAAAGGCCCGAGGACCCCACAGUGCAGCCCAGGAGGCUGAGGAGCCACGUCCCAGGAGAGUCCCCACCAUGGCCUGGACGGUGCUUCUGCUCGGGCUCCUCGCUCAUGGCUCAGGGGUGGAUUCUCAGACUGUGGUGACCCAGAAGCCGUCCCUGUCAGUGUCUCCAGGAGGGACAGUCACACUCACCUGUGGCCUCAGCUCUGGGUCUGUCACUACCAGUAACUACCCUGGUUGGAUCCAGCAGACACCAGGCCAGGUUCUACACACUCUUAUCUACAGCACAAGCAGCUGCCUCUCUGGUGUCCCCAGUCGCUUCUCUGGAUCCAUCUCUGGGAACAAAACCACCCUCACCAUCACGGGGGCCCAGCCCGAGGAUGAGGCCGACUAUUACUGUGCUGUAUAUAUAUGGGUAGUGGCAGUUACACUAACUCAGUGAUGUAAACUCACGGGG
Molecule: non-coding RNA, 480 nt
Organism: Vicugna pacos (alpaca)
Lineage: Eukaryota; Metazoa; Chordata; Mammalia; Artiodactyla; Camelidae
Source: the annotation of a RefSeq genome assembly